RNAcentral lists this non-coding RNA (133 nucleotides) under Lepisosteus oculatus (spotted gar). RNAcentral's name for it is "Eukaryotic large subunit ribosomal RNA". It matches the Rfam family "Eukaryotic large subunit ribosomal RNA", at positions 2833 to 2984 of the family's 3401-position model. The record is from Rfam by way of RNAcentral. Lineage: Eukaryota; Metazoa; Chordata; Actinopteri; Semionotiformes; Lepisosteidae.
GCUUGUGGUGGCCAAGAGUUCAUGGCAAUUUCACCUUCUGAUUUUUCAAUGUCAGCUCUCCCUACUCAAGCAUUGGAUUGUUCACCCACUAACAGAGAACACUGCUGGGCUCUGGACCAGCAGUGGACAGGUC